UACCAUAGUUACUGGGCUGCAGCUGUUCUUACUGUGGCAUUCCUCUGUGGGAAAGAAAAUGUAACACAUUCAAUACUUAUUUCUUAGCCAAGCAGAAAGCAGGCAUAUGUGUGACAGACACAA
Small nucleolar RNA from Jaculus jaculus (lesser Egyptian jerboa), 123 nucleotides. RefSeq annotates it as small nucleolar RNA SNORA41. The transcript has a single exon. Lineage: Eukaryota; Metazoa; Chordata; Mammalia; Rodentia; Dipodidae. The record is from RefSeq and is a predicted model, not a curated record.